Molecule: ribosomal RNA, 275 nt
Filed under: uncultured bacterium
Lineage: Bacteria
Description: partial 16S ribosomal RNA
Rfam family: Bacterial small subunit ribosomal RNA
Source: RNAcentral
CUAAGUUUGAUGGCGACCGGCGCACGGGUGAGUAACACGUAUCCAACCUGCCGAUGACUCGGGAAUAGCCUUUCGAAAGAAAGAUUAAUACCCGAUGGCAUAGUUCUUCCGCAUGGUAGAACUAUUAAAGAAUUUCGGUCAUCGAUGGGGAUGCGUUCCAUUAGGUUGUUGGCGGGGUAACGGCCCACCAAGCCUUCGAUGGAUAGGGGUUCUGAGAGGAAGGUCCCCCACAUUGGAACUGAGACACGGUCCAAACUCCUACGGGAGGCAGCAUG